GAUGAACGCUGGCGGCGUGCCUAAUACAUGCAAGUCGAGCGAACAGAUAAGGAGCUUGCUCCUUUGACGUUAGCGGCGGACGGGUGAGUAACACGUGGGUAACCUACCUAUAAGACUGGAAUAACUCCGGGAAACCGGGGCUAAUGCCGGAUAACAUUUAGAACCGCAUGGUUCUAAAGUGAAAGAUGGUUUUGCUAUCACUUAUAGAUGGACCCGCGCCGUAUUAGCUAGUUGGUAAGGUAACGGCUUACCAAGGCAACGAUACGUAGCCGACCUGAGAGGGUGAUCGGCCACACUGGAACUGAGACACGGUCCAGACUCCUACGGGAGGCAGCAGUAGGGAAUCUUCCGCAAUGGGCGAAAGCCUGACGGAGCAACGCCGCGUGAGUGAUGAAGGUCUUCGGAUCGUAAAACUCUGUUAUUAGGGAAGAACAGAUGUGUAAGUAACUGUGCACGUCUUGACGGUACCUAAUCAGAAAGCCACGGCUAACUACGUG
RNAcentral lists this ribosomal RNA (497 nucleotides) under uncultured bacterium. RNAcentral's name for it is "partial 16S ribosomal RNA". It matches the Rfam family "Bacterial small subunit ribosomal RNA", at positions 28 to 507 of the family's 1533-position model. The record is from RNAcentral.